CGAGCAUUAUCCCCUUUACACACAAUCAAAUCACACUCCGGAUAGAAUAGAGGAAGUUAUCGGCGGUUACUACGUUUUGUUGACAAUUACAAUAUUGGCAUAGCAUUUCAAUAUGGUGCUUUCUAAGCCUACUCUGUGCCCCUUCACGCACUAGCGAUUCCUGUGGCGGGCCGGGCGCAGUGCACGCUGACACGGUCGCCAGGUGUACGGUGUUUCCUCCGACACAUUGGCUUCCGGGUUAAGUAGGCAUUGUGUCAAGUAGCAGUGCGGCUUGGUUGGGUUGUGUUUCGUAAGACGCGCGGCUCUCGACCUUCGCCUCUCCCGAGUCCGUAAGGGAGGUGCAGCGAUGAGACAAGACUAACAGCGGGGAGGUGUUCAGAGCACACUAUGAACACAGAGGACACAGAUGUACAGCAAACAGCAGAGAUAAGACCUCCACUAUAUGGGCUAGAGUGGAGCAAACAGCAGAGAUAAGACCUCCACUAUAUGGGCUAGAGUGGAGCAAACAGCAGAGAUAAGACCUCCACUAUAUGGGCUAGAGUGGAGCAAACAGCAGAGAUAAGACCUCCACUAUAUGGGCUAGAGUGGAGCAAACAGCAGAGAUAAGACCUCCACUAUAUGGGCUAGAGUGGAGCAAACAGCAGAGAUAAGACCUUCACCUUAUGGGCUAUAGUGGAGCAACCAUAUGGACUGGACAGGAUCACAGCAGCAUCUUUAUACAGGUCAUGUGUUACAGUGAGUGUAGGCCUACACAACCCUCAGAGAACAAUGGUGAUUGAUGUUAUCUAGGAAAUGAAUAUUUAAUUAAAGUAAAUUCCAUUUGUAGCUCUACACUGUAAACCUAGCUCAGUAUUACAACUCUCUGGCCUAUAGAGACCAAUUCUGCUAAAUAUAUUAUCACACCAUUUUAUUUAUUCAAACAUUUCAGUUCUGAAUGCAGUAAUCUUUGACUGUAACACUGUUAGGUCACCCAGCUUGGUCAAGCUCAACUGUUUUGCUCAGUCUCUCCUGGUCUGGCAGGAAUCUCUGGUUUACCUAGAUAAGUUAUUCCACUCUGAAGCCCAGUGUAAAUUAGUCAGCCAAAGCAAACAUACCACCUCCAUCUCCAGGGAAACACACCACCUCCAUCUCCA
Molecule: long non-coding RNA, 1133 nt
Filed under: Salmo salar (Atlantic salmon)
Lineage: Eukaryota; Metazoa; Chordata; Actinopteri; Salmoniformes; Salmonidae
Description: lncRNA (ENSSSAG00000115844.1)
Source: RNAcentral